RNAcentral lists this ribosomal RNA (320 nucleotides) under uncultured eukaryote. RNAcentral describes it as "partial 18S ribosomal RNA". It matches the Rfam family "Eukaryotic small subunit ribosomal RNA", at positions 1470 to 1796 of the family's 1831-position model. The record is from RNAcentral.
CCCCUAGAUGUUCUGGGCCGCACGCGCGCUACACUGAACAGUUCAACAAGUCUUAACCUUGGCCGAUAGGUCUGGGUAAUCUUUGAACGCUGUUCGUGAUUGGGAUAGACCUUUGCAAUUAUGGGUCUUCAACGAGGAAUUCCUAGUAAACGCAAGUCAUCAGCUUGCAUUGAUUACGUCCCUGCCCUUUGUACACACCACCCGUCGCACCUACCGAUUGAAUGGUCCGGUGAAAUCUCGGGACGGCGGCUUGGUCGCUUGCGUCCGACUGCUGAAACUUGAUUAAACCAUAUCAUUUAGAGGAAGGUGAAGUCGUANCA